UGGGGAAUAUUGGACAAUGGGCGCAAGCCUGAUCCAGCCAUGCCGCGUGAGUGACGAAGGCCUUAGGGUUGUAAAGCUCUUUUGGCGGGGAAGAUAAUGACGGUACCCGCAGAAUAAGCUCCGGCUAACUUCGUGCCAGCAGCCGCGGUAAUACGAAGGGAGCUAGCGUUGUUCGGAAUCACUGGGCGUAAAGCGCACGUAGGUGGGCAGUUAAGUCAGGGGUGAAAGCCCCGAGGCUCAACCUCGGAAUUGCCUCUGAUACUGGCUGUCUAGAGUUCGAGAGAGGUGAGUGGAAUUCCUAGUGUAGAGGUGAAAUUCGUAGAUAUUAGGAAGAACACCGGUGGCGAAGGCGGCUCACUGGCUCGAUACUGACACUGAGGUGCGAAAGCGUGGGGAGCAAACAGGAUUAGAUACCCGUGUAGUCCCUGAGCGGGCUGGCAAGGCGCAU
This 448-nucleotide ribosomal RNA is filed under the name uncultured bacterium. RNAcentral's name for it is "bacterial SSU rRNA". It matches the Rfam family "Bacterial small subunit ribosomal RNA", at positions 355 to 825 of the family's 1533-position model. The record is from RNAcentral.